RNAcentral lists this ribosomal RNA (700 nucleotides) under uncultured delta proteobacterium. RNAcentral describes it as "bacterial SSU rRNA". It matches the Rfam family "Bacterial small subunit ribosomal RNA", at positions 87 to 766 of the family's 1533-position model. Lineage: Bacteria; Deltaproteobacteria. The record is from RNAcentral.
UGAGUAAAGUGGCGCACGGGUGAGUAACACGUAGGCGACCUGCCUUUUAGAGGGGAAUAACCAGAUGAAAAUUUGGCUAAUGCCGCAUACGAAGAGCAAAUAUAAUAGUAGCUCUUGAAAGGAUGCCUCUGUAUAUGCAUCCGCUAAAAGAUGGGCCUGCGGAACAUUAGCUAGUUGGUGGGGUAAAGGCCUACCAAGGCAACGAUGUUUAUCCGGUCUGAGAGGAUGAUCGGACACACUGGAACUGAGACACGGUCCAGACUCCUACGGGAGGCAGCAGUGGGGAAUAUUGCGCAAUGGGGGAAACCCUGACGCAGCAACGCCGCGUGAGUGAGGAAGGACUUCGGUCUGUAAAGCUCUGUUAAUGUGGAAAAAUGGUAGUUGGUCUAAUAGGCCGAUUAUUUGAUGGUACACAUGGAGGAAGCACCGGCUAACUUCGUGCCAGCAGCCGCGGUAAUACGAAGGGUGCAAGCGUUGUUCGGAUUUAUUGGGCGUAAAGCGCGCGUAGGCGGACCUGCAAGUCAGAUGUGAAAUCUCGGGGCUCAACCUCGAAACUGCGUCUGAAACUACAGGUCUAGAAUCUCGGAGGGGGAAGGGGAAUAUCGCAUGUAGGGGUAAAAUCCGUAGAUAUGCGAUGGAACACCAGAGGCGAAGGCGCCUUCCUGGACGAGUAUUGACGCUGAGGCGCGAAAGCGUGUGG